CCUACGGGGGGCAGCAGUGAGGAAUAUUGGUCAAUGGACGAGAGUCUGAACCAGCCAAGUAGCGUGAAGGAUGACUGCCCUAUGGGUUGUAAACUUCUUUUAUAUGGGAAUAAAAUGUUGCACGUGUGGGAUUUUGUAUGUACCAUAUGAAUAAGGAUCGGCUAACUCCGUGCCAGCAGCCGCGGUAAUACGGAGGAUCCGAGCGUUAUCCGGAUUUAUUGGGUUUAAAGGGAGCGUAGGUGGAUUGUUAAGUCAGUUGUGAAAGUUUGCGGCUCAACCGUAAAAUUGCAGUUGAAACUGGCAGUCUUGAGUACAGUAGAGGUGGGCGGAAUUCGUGGUGUAGCGGUGAAAUGCUUAGAUAUCACGAAGAACUCCGAUUGCGAAGGCAGUUCACUGGACUGCAACUGACACUGAGGCUCGAAAGUGUGGGUAUCAAACAGGAUUAGAUACCCCAGUAGUC
Molecule: ribosomal RNA, 460 nt
Filed under: uncultured bacterium
Lineage: Bacteria
Description: partial 16S ribosomal RNA
Rfam family: Bacterial small subunit ribosomal RNA
Source: RNAcentral